Molecule: ribosomal RNA, 449 nt
Filed under: Leptotrichia sp. oral taxon 462
Lineage: Bacteria; Fusobacteriati; Fusobacteriota; Fusobacteriia; Fusobacteriales; Leptotrichiaceae
Description: bacterial SSU rRNA
Rfam family: Bacterial small subunit ribosomal RNA
Source: RNAcentral
GAUGAACGCUGACAGAAUGCUUAACACAUGCAAGUCUUUGGCGAAGCUGUGCUUGCACAGCCUAGCCAAGGCGGACGGGUGAGUAACGCGUAAGGGACUUGCCCUGCAGUCAGGGAUAACAGACGGAAACGACUGAUAAAACCUGGUAAAGUCAGGCGGACUCAUGUCCAGCCUGAUGAAAAGGAAUGCUGCAGGAGAGCCUUGCGUCCUAUUAGCUCGUUGGUGGGGUAACGGCCCACCAAGGCGAUGAUAGGUAGCCGGCCUGAGAGGGUGGACGGCCACAAGGGGACUGAGAUACGGCCCUUACUCCUACGGGAGGCAGCAGUGGGGAAUAUUGGACAAUGGGGGCAACCCUGAUCCAGCAAUUCUGUGUGCACGAAGACGGUUUUCGGAUUGUAAAGUGCUUUCAGCAGGGAAGAAGGAAGUGACGGACCUGCAGAAGAAGCGCG